UAUGAAUGUCCGUGUUGUCUGC
Molecule: non-coding RNA, 22 nt
Filed under: Arabidopsis thaliana (thale cress)
Lineage: Eukaryota; Viridiplantae; Streptophyta; Magnoliopsida; Brassicales; Brassicaceae
Source: RNAcentral